UGAGGAAUAUUGGUCAAUGGGCGGGAGCCUGAACCAGCCAAGCCGCGUGAGGGAAGAAGGCGCUCAGCGUCGUAAACCUCUUAGCCGGGGAACAAAGAGCUUCUCGUGAAGGAGCGUUGAGCGUACCCGGAGAAUAAGCAUCGGCUAACUCCGUGCCAGCAGCCGCGGUAAUACGGAGGAUGCGAGCGUUAUCCGGAUUUAUUGGGUUUAAAGGGUGCGCAGGCGGACGCGCAAGUCUGCGGUCAAAUUCCGGGGCUCGACCCCGGACCGCCGUGGAAACUGUGCGACUAGAGUGGGCGAGAGGCAUGCGGAAUGCGCGGUGUAGCGGUGAAAUGCUUAGAGAUCGCGCAGAACUCCGAUUGCGAAGGCAGCAUGCCGGCGCCUUACUGACGCUCAUGCACGAAAGCGUGGGGAUCGAACAGGAUUAGAUACC
RNAcentral lists this ribosomal RNA (433 nucleotides) under uncultured bacterium. Its description in RNAcentral is "bacterial SSU rRNA". It matches the Rfam family "Bacterial small subunit ribosomal RNA", at positions 355 to 786 of the family's 1533-position model. The record is from RNAcentral.